AAUUACGGACUCAAAUCUAAAUUGCUUUAGCCAUGCCCCUCCAUCGUGUGCAAUUUUUGGAUCAUAUGGUAUACUCGAUUCUUUUCUUGUACAUACGUAUAGUAUUAUAGAAAUAGGUUGAGUGUUGCAGUGAUGAGGCAGAAAUGAAAGCUGUUCAUUUGUAGUAAAACAGAUUUUGCAUCCCGUAGAUGAUAAUAUCGUUGUGAAAUGUGGUUGGUAAACAUGUUUGCAGUAUUGCCAGAGCAAGCUGGUUUAAAUACUUUGAUUUGCCAAUAUUACUUGAAUUUUUUUUAAAAGAGAAUAGAGAUUUUAUUUGAAUAAAAAUUCAAGUAAUAUUGGCAAAUCAAA
Molecule: unclassified non-coding RNA, 348 nt
Filed under: Hevea brasiliensis (rubber tree)
Lineage: Eukaryota; Viridiplantae; Streptophyta; Magnoliopsida; Malpighiales; Euphorbiaceae
Source: RNAcentral